UCGGGGUACACGAGCGGCGAACGGGUGAGUAACACGUGGGUGAUCUGCCCUGCACUUCGGGAUAAGCCUGGGAAACUGGGUCUAAUACCGGAUAUGACCUUCGGCUGCAUGGCUGAGGGUGGAAAGGUUUACUGGUGCAGGAUGGGCCCGCGGCCUAUCAGCUUGUUGGUGGGGUAAUGGCCUACCAAGGCGACGACGGGUAGCCGACCUGAGAGGGUGACCGGCCACACUGGGACUGAGACACGGCCCAGACUCCUACGGGAGGCAGCAGUGGGGAAUAUUGCACAAUGGGCGAAAGCCUGAUGCAGCGACGCCGCGUGAGGGAUGACGGCCUUCGGGUUGUAAACCUCUUUCAGCAGGGACGAAGCGAAAGUGACGGUACCUGCAGAAGAAGCACCGGCCAACUACGUGCCAGCAGCCGCGGUAAUACGUAGGGUGCAAGCGUUGUCCGGAAUUACUGGGCGUAAAGAGCUCGUAGGCGGUUUGUCGCGUCGUCUGUGAAAACUCGAGGCUCAACCUCGAGCUUGCAGGCGAUACGGGCAGACUUGAGUACUGCAGGGGAGACUGGAAUUCCUGGUGUAGCGGUGAAAUGCGCAGAUAUCAGGAGGAACACCGGUGGCGAAGGCGGGUCUCUGGGCAGUAACUGACGCUGAGGAGCGAAAGCGUGGGUAGCGAACAGGAUUAGAUACCCUGGUAGUCCACGCCGUAAACGGUGGGCGCUAGGUGUGGGUUU
RNAcentral lists this ribosomal RNA (733 nucleotides) under Rhodococcus wratislaviensis. Its description in RNAcentral is "bacterial SSU rRNA". It matches the Rfam family "Bacterial small subunit ribosomal RNA", at positions 82 to 829 of the family's 1533-position model. The record is from RNAcentral. Lineage: Bacteria; Bacillati; Actinomycetota; Actinomycetes; Mycobacteriales; Nocardiaceae.